GGGGGCAUGGCGGAAUGGUAGACGCUACGGACUUAAAAUCCGUUGAUCUUAUCGAUUGUGAGGGUUCAAGUCCCUCUGCCCCCA
Molecule: transfer RNA, 84 nt
Filed under: Netrium digitus
Lineage: Eukaryota; Viridiplantae; Streptophyta; Zygnematophyceae; Zygnematales; Zygnemataceae
Description: tRNA-Leu
Rfam family: tRNA
About the family: Transfer RNA (tRNA) molecules are approximately 80 nucleotides in length.
Source: RNAcentral